Molecule: long non-coding RNA, 2459 nt
Organism: Saccostrea echinata
Lineage: Eukaryota; Metazoa; Mollusca; Bivalvia; Ostreida; Ostreidae
Exons: 13
Source: RefSeq, a predicted model, not a curated record
UCUAUUACUUAACCAGUCAAGCAGUUCGGGAAAAUUAAUUCCGGUAUGGUUUCAGUUUUAUAUUAUGUAGCUGAGUACAUCGAUCCCGAAGUUAGUUUAGCGGCGGGAGAAAUAACGUUUGGCAUGAUUAGCAAGAACUGAAAAUGAAACGGAAGUAGAAACGAAGAGGUCACAAAGAAAAAUACACCGAAACAUUGAUGCUACAUCGAUGAGCUGUGUUAUGUGCAUUGUAUAAGAAAAAAGAAGCGGACUGGCGGCCGGAGGGGAAUCAAACUUGGACUCCUGCAUAGCUUGUAAGCUGCUCUAAUCCACCCAUGCCGACAUCCUGGUCAGCACAAUCCAAACCACUAAGUGUAUCUGGUCACCAGCAAUUGGACCUGCCUGAGCUUCUUGUAUCUGAUCACCAGCAAUUGAACUUGCCUAUCUGCCAUUUUCAUCUAGUUGGAAAUGAUGUAGUUUACUCAAUGGUGUGUAGACUGUCAACAUGUGAAACCUACGUAGUCUCCUCUGUUAAAGAUCACUAAUGGUGGAUAAACAAUGAGUGAUGCAGACUGUUCACCAAAAGGGAGUUUUGACACCUGUAUGCCUAUAUUUCUACCAAUCACCCUGUUAUCUUUUUUGUCAUGUUCUUUGGACAGGUAAAAUAACAAGGUAAAACAAGUAGAAAGAAAAGGCUGGAGCAAAGAUGAGAAAAGCACCAUAUGCCAAGGGUUUGUAAGGAGAGUAGCAGAUCAGAAACCUUUGACUAGAGAAGAUGUGAAUGGAGACAGAUUCUGAUGAUGCCAUCAUUGGGAGGCAGGAUGACUAUAAGACACUAAUUCCUCAUCCAUAAAGAUUUCUACAAGUGGUUCAUUUGGAUGAUUAUUUUGGACAUUCCCAAGAAACUAUAAUUCCUAACUAGACCAAACUUGUAUGAAAUGAAUACAGAUUUCAUUACAAGACGUGAGUGUGUUCAAAGGAAACAGCCAAUCAAAAUGAACUUAGUGUGCAUGGUGCAACAUCCUGGAUGGUGUGUAGUAUGUUUGUUAACAUGUGAAGCCUACGUGUAUUUCAGGGAGUUGUCUCCCAUGUUUAAGAUCAGUAAUGGCGGAUAUACAGUGCAGUAUGCUGUCUGGUCAUCAACAGAGAGUUUUGACACCCGUAUUUCUACCAAUCACCUCUGUAACCUUUGUUGUGUUCAUCAGAUAGAUUCACCAGAUGCAGCUGCUCCAUCUCCAUCACUGGUGAAAUGGGAAAUGACUAGUGGACGGUCAUCACUUUGUAACUCACUAUUUUGCAGCCCAUCUCUUCUCAUCUUCAGUGGUGGCCUUUGGAGGAAUGGUUGCAGUGCAGUCUUCGUGUCUUAGGCAGUUAACUUCCUUUCCUUUGCUUCUCAGUUUUUAGCUCAACUCAACGAAAUUGGGGAACCUUAUGUGAUACCCUCAGCAUUGGUGUUGGUGUCCCAGGUUAAAGUUUUGGGAGCAGAGUUCUUUUUAACUAUGAAAAUGAAGAACUGGAGAGGAUCUUGAUUGAUUUUUCUUGAAUGAGACACAAGUGCCUUCCAUUUGUGAUACUAAAGGAAGCUGUUACAAAUUUAGUUUGCCACAGUACUGACCUGACAUAUGAGGACAGGAAUAAAAGAUGUUUUAAAAUAGAAAUGUCUAUAAUUUAACUUAAAAGUAUGAUUAACUAAGAUCACAAACAACAAAUCAGUUGCAUUGCAAAUGUACAUAUAGCAUGUUUGCACUUACGAGGGAAUAUUCACUCCCUUUCAGUGAAAGUGUUGGCAUGCAGGUCAAUUAUUGUCACCAAAUCGUCUGUCAUAUUCUCAGCAUGCAGCUGUAGAAUUUGAUCAGAAAGAUUAGCUACACUAUUCUAUGUAUAAGUCUUAUGUAUAAAUCUAAGACAUUUUGGUUUCUAGUCACCAGUCUAUAUUUAUAAUCAUUGUAGUGUAAAAAAAUUCUGGUCCAUAAGUCGAUUGAGAUUUUAUGUUUUAGUGAAAUGUUUUGUUUAUUUAUUGCCAACUCGCUGUAAAUCAAAUGUAGUUAAAAAUUUCAGCACUUUCAUUGUGUUUAUGCAAUUUAUUGUUCUUCAAUGUCAGUGACAUGUAUAUCAUUUUAUGAUGCACAAUCAGUAUUAUUGUACCAGAUUUAUACUUGUCUCUUAUUGAUCUGCAUUUUUUGGGGCUAAUUAAUGUUUAAAUCCUACUGUGAACGUCUUCUUUUCACUUGGUGCCAGUGCUUGAAAGAAACCAGCCUGUCAAUAAUUUUUAAGAAGAUGCUGAGAUUAGCUUUACAUCGUAAAACAAACUGAACACUGUAUAUAGUAUAGCAUAUCAUUGUUAAAGAUGUAUGUGUGCAUGUGUGUUGUAUUGUAGAUAUAAUUCUUGUAUUACAUCAUGUAUAUUUCAUAGAAGAUUUUGUUAGAAGCUCUGUUUUCAUAAUUUAAUUAUUUUCAUGUACAUAAAGACUUUGAUCGUU